Non-coding RNA from Pelodiscus sinensis (Chinese soft-shelled turtle), 193 nucleotides. Lineage: Eukaryota; Metazoa; Chordata; Testudines; Trionychidae. The record is from RefSeq and is a predicted model, not a curated record.
GGAGGGGAGAGGCCAGCCAGAGCACCGGAUGAGGGGGCUCUGGGCCUCAAGGAAGCAGCACGCGAAGUAUCCUGAAGAGGAAUUUGAAUCCACAUCUCUGACUUCUGAGGCGAGUGGUUUAAUCACCAGAAGUGCUGAAUCAACUUAUGCUCCUAGAAUCCAUUUUCAAGAGUGUCAUGGGCAUUUUGGAGGG